AACGAACGCUGGCGGCAGGCCUAACACAUGCCAGUCGAGCGCCCCGCAAGGGGAGCGGCGGCCGGGUGAGUAACGCGUGGGAAUAUGCCCUUUGCUACGGAAUAGUCUCGGGAAACUGGGGGUAAUACCGUAUACGCCCUUUGGGGGAAAGAUUUAUCGGCGAAGGAUUAGCCCGCGUUGGAUUAGGUAGUUGGUGGGGUAAUGGCCUACCAAGCCGACGAUCCAUAGCUGGUUUGAGAGGAUGAUCAGCCACACUGGGACUGAGACACGGCCCAGACUCCUACGGGAGGCAGCAGUGGGGAAUCUUAGACAAUGGGGGCAACCCUGAUCUAGCCAUGCCGCGUGAGUGAUGAAGGCCUUAGGGUUGUAAAGCUCUUUCAGCUGGGAAGAUAAUGACGGUACCAGCAGAAGAAGCCCCGGCUAACUCCGUG
Molecule: ribosomal RNA, 431 nt
Filed under: uncultured bacterium
Lineage: Bacteria
Description: partial 16S ribosomal RNA
Rfam family: Bacterial small subunit ribosomal RNA
Source: RNAcentral